RNAcentral lists this ribosomal RNA (1927 nucleotides) under bacterium BMS3Bbin05. RNAcentral describes it as "bacterial LSU rRNA". It matches the Rfam family "Bacterial large subunit ribosomal RNA", at positions 289 to 2126 of the family's 2925-position model. The record is from RNAcentral.
UGCUCGGGGUUGUAGGACCGCGAAAGUACCAAGGUGUAUAUAUAGCCGAACCCGGCUGGAAAGUUGGGCCGUAGAGGGUGAUAGCCCCGUAGGCGAAAUAUAUACAUCAGGGAAGCGGAAUCCUGAGUACCACGGGACACGAGGAAUCCUGUGGGAAGCAGGGGGGACCACCCUCCAAGGCUAAAUACUUCCUGAUGACCGAUAGUGGACGAGUACCGUGAGGGAAAGGUGAAAAGAACCCCUGUUAGGGGAGUGAAAGAGAACCUGAAACCGUGUGCUUACAAGCAAUCAGAGGUUCGAAGGAAUUCGGACUGAUGGUGUGCCUUUUGAUUAAUGAGCCGGCGAGUUACUGGCAGUGGCGAGGUUAAGGCCUUCAGGGCUGGAGCCGAAGGGAAACCGAGUCUUAACAGGGCGUAUAGUCGCUGUCAGCAGACCCGAAGCCAGGUGAUCUACCCAUGGUCAGGGUGAAGUCCCGGUAAAACGGGAUGGAGGCCCGAACCGGUGUAAGUUGCAAAUUGCUCGGAUGAACUGUGGGUAGGGGUGAAAGGCCAAUCAAACCUGGUGAUAGCUGGUUCUCCCCGAAAUGUAUUUAGGUACAGCCUCUGAGUAAUCUUAUGGGGGUAGGGCACUGAAUGGGCUAGGGCCCCGUAGGGGGUACCAAACCCAAUCAAACCGCGAAUACCAUAAGAUGGUCUCAGGGAGUGAGACUGCGGGUGCUAAGAUUCGUAGUCGAGAGGGAAACAGCCCAGACCGUCAGCUAAGGUCCCCAAGGGAUUGCUAAGUGGGAAAGGAUGUGGUGUUGCCCUGACAGCCAGGAGGUUGGCUUAGAAGCAGCCAUCCUUUAAAGAAAGCGUAAUAGCUCACUGGUCAAGCGACACUGCGCCGAAAAUUUAACGGGGCUUAAGCAAUCCACCGAAGCUACGGACUUAACGGCGGGGAUUAGGUUUUAGGGGUUAGUAGUUGGUGAAAGGCUGAAAAAGAAAGUCUUUACUAAUCCCCAAUCCCUGAUUCCUAACCCCCGUCGUUGAGUGGUAGGGGAGCACUCUGCUAACCUGUGAAGGUAUAUUGUGAAGUAUGCUGGAGGAGGCAGAGGAGAGUAUGUCGGCAUAAGUAGCGAAAAUACUGAUUAGAAGUCAGUACGCCGUAAACCUAAGGUUUCCUGGGGAAGGCAAAUCCGCCCAGGGUUAGUCGGGCCUAAGGCGAGGCCGAAAGGCGUAGUCGAUGGACAACAGGUUAAUAUUCCUGUACCACUGUGUAUGUUAUGAUCUCAGGGGUGACGCAGGAGGAUAGUGCAGGCUCCGUGACGGAAUACGGGGUCCAAGCGUUGAGGAGGUGGGGCAGGCAAAUCCGCUCCACAGAACUCCAGGGCGUAACGGGGAGUCCGCUUCAGGGCGAACCUGCAUGAUUUCACACUGACGAGAAAACCCUCGGAGGGAGUGUGCAUGGUGACCGUACCGCAAACCGACACAGGUAGGUAGGUAGAAGAUACCAAGGCGUUCGAGACAACCCUCGCUAAGGAACUCGGCAAAAUAGCCCCGUAACUUCGGGAGAAGGGGUCCCUGUUUUGCAGGGGGCACUAAAGAGGCCCAAGCGACUGUUUACCAAAAACAUAGGUGUCUGCUAACUCGAAAGAGGAUGUAUAGGCACUGACGCCUGCCCGGUGCCGGAAGGUUAAAGGGAGGUGUUAGCUCCUUCGGGGGCGAAGCUCUGAACUGAAGCCCCGGUAAACGGCGGCCGUAACUAUAACGGUCCUAAGGUAGCGAAAUUCCUUGUCGGGUAAGUUCCGACCUGCACGAAUGGCGUAACGACUUGGGCGCUGUCUCGGCGAGGGACUCGGCGAACUUGAGGUACCGGUGAAGACGCCGGUUACCCGCAGCAAGACGGAAAGACCCUGUGCACCUUUACUGUAGCUUGGCAUUGAGUUUUG